GACGAACGCUGGCGGCGUGCUUAACACAUGCAAGUCGAACGGAAAGUCCCUGCUGUUGUGUGGUGCUCGAGUGGCUAACGGGUGAGUAACGGGGGGUUAAGCGUCGCUAGACUGUGGGAUAGCGGGGGGAAACUAGGGCUAAUGACAGCUAGUAGCGCCUGCUGCUAGGUAGUGGUUGGAAAUUUUCUGAGGGUUGGAAUUGACCCGCGACUAAUCAGCUUGUGGGUGGGGUAGUGGCUUACCCAGGCGUCGACGGGUAGCCGGCCUGAGAGGGUGGCCGGCCACAUUGGGACAGAGAUAGCAGCCAGAGUGCUACGGGGGCAAGCGGUGGGGAAUAUUCCACACAGGGCCGCAGCCGUAUGCAGCAACGCCGCGUGCGGGAUGACGGCUUUAGGGUUGUAACCCGCUUUAGCCUGUGAAGAAGCGUGAGUGACGGUAACGUGCCAAGAAGCACCGGCUAACUACGUG
RNAcentral lists this ribosomal RNA (468 nucleotides) under uncultured bacterium. RNAcentral's name for it is "partial 16S ribosomal RNA". It matches the Rfam family "Bacterial small subunit ribosomal RNA", at positions 28 to 507 of the family's 1533-position model. The record is from RNAcentral.